GGCUCCCCGUGCCUCAUCAAAUGWGGAGUCGGACCUGCCCAGUGAAAUUUUUCAACGGCCGCGGUACUCUGACCGUGCAAAGGUAGCAUAAUCAUUUGCCUUAUAAUUGAAGGCUAGUAUGAAUGGUUUGACAAGAGUAUGACUGUCUCUUUACAAUUAAUUAGAAUUUUAUUUUUAGGUGAAGAAGCCUAUAUAUAAUUGAAAGACAAGAAGACCCUAUCGAGCUUAAAAAGAGCUAAUAAAUUUAAUUUUUAAUAGUACAUUAACUUAGUUUAUUACAAAUUUUAGUUGGGGCGACUGAGGAACAGACAAAGCUUCCUUUAUACUAGGAAUUAGACCUACAAGUUUUGAUCCAAAAACUUUGAUUAAAGAAAUUAGUUACCGUAGGGAUAACAGCAUUAUCUCCUUUGAGAGUUCCCAUCGAAAAGGGGGUUUGUGACCUCGAUGUUGGACCAUAAUAUCCUAAAGAUGCAGCCGUAUUUAAGGGUUGGUAUGUUCGACCAUUAAAAUUCUACGUGAUCUGAGUUCAGACCGGCGUGAGCCAGGUCAGUUUCUAUCUUCAAUUCUUUUAAUAACCUUAGUACGAAAGGACCAGAUUAUUGUAAAUACAAUUGCUAAUAUAUAGAUAAAAUAUAAUUAACUUAUUAGAGAUUAAAUUAAAUUAAAUUUCAUAUCAGAUUAGCAAAGAUAAUGCAAUUGACUUAGGAUCAAUAGACAUAGGUGAAACCCCUUUAUUUGAUAAAUUAUCUUAAGUAAAUAUAAAAUAAAGGUGGCAGAAUAAA
RNAcentral lists this ribosomal RNA (782 nucleotides) under Dermomurex neglectus. Its description in RNAcentral is "partial 16S ribosomal RNA". The stretch from base 1 to 585 matches the Rfam family "Bacterial large subunit ribosomal RNA", at positions 1817 to 2925 of the family's 2925-position model. Lineage: Eukaryota; Metazoa; Mollusca; Gastropoda; Neogastropoda; Muricidae. The record is from RNAcentral.